This 468-nucleotide ribosomal RNA is filed under the name uncultured bacterium. Its description in RNAcentral is "partial 16S ribosomal RNA". It matches the Rfam family "Bacterial small subunit ribosomal RNA", at positions 28 to 507 of the family's 1533-position model. The record is from RNAcentral.
GAUGAACGCUGGCGGCGUGCCUAACACAUGCAAGUCGAACGAACAGGCGCGGCGCUUGUUGGGUGCUCGUUAGGGGCAGACGGGUGAGUAACACGAGGAUAACCCCCCUAUAAUUCGGGUAAAACUACGGAAAAGGGGCGAAAACACCGGAUGAGAUCUUGCACCGUAGGGGGCGAUGGAGAAAUUCGGCGGUGGGGGCUGGACUCGCGGGUUAUGCGCCUGUUUGUGGGGUAGGGGCUUACAAGGGCUUUGAAGGGUAGCCGGCCUGAGAGGGUGGCCGGCCACCUUGGGACUGCGAUACGCCCCAGACUCCUACGUGCGGCAGCAGUGGGGAAUAUUGCACAGUGGGCGGAAGCGUGAUGCAGCAACGCCGCGUGCGUGAUGACGGCUUUCUGGUUGUAAACCGCUUUCGAAUGUGGCGAAGCGGGAGUGACGGUAAUGGGUAAAGAAGCACCGGCUAACUACGUG